Molecule: non-coding RNA, 113 nt
Organism: Acanthosepion pharaonis
Lineage: Eukaryota; Metazoa; Mollusca; Cephalopoda; Sepiida; Sepiidae
Source: the annotation of a GenBank genome assembly
UUACGGCUACAUCAGGUUGAAACACCUGUUCCCGUACGAUCACCGAAGUUAAGCAACGUUGAGCCUGAUCAGUACCUAGAUCGAUCACCGCUUGCGAAUACCAGGUGCUGUAA